RNAcentral lists this ribosomal RNA (250 nucleotides) under uncultured prokaryote. Its description in RNAcentral is "partial 16S rRNA". It matches the Rfam family "Bacterial small subunit ribosomal RNA", at positions 525 to 775 of the family's 1533-position model. The record is from RNAcentral.
ACGUAGGUGGCAAGCGUUGUCCGGAAUUAUUGGGCGUAAAGCGCGCGCAGGUGGUUAUAUAAGUGUGAUUUUAAAGUUCGGGGCUCAACCCUGUGAUGGCUUGGAAACUGUAUAACUUGAGUACAGUAGAGGAAAGCGGAAUUCCUAGUGUAGCGGUGAAAUGCGUAGAUAUUAGGAGGAACACCAGUGGCGAAGGCGACUUACUGGGCUGUAACUGACACUGAGGCACGAAAGCCAGGGGAGCAAACGG